This 1446-nucleotide ribosomal RNA is filed under the name metagenome. RNAcentral's name for it is "bacterial SSU rRNA". It matches the Rfam family "Bacterial small subunit ribosomal RNA". The record is from RNAcentral.
CUUGCUGUUUCGCUGACGAGUGGCGGACGGGUGAGUAAUGUCUGGGAAACUGCCUGAUGGAGGGGGAUAACUACUGGAAACGGUAGCUAAUACCGCAUAACGUCGCAAGACCAAAGAGGGGGACCUUCGGGCCUCUUGCCAUCAGAUGUGCCCAGAUGGGAUUAGCUAGUAGGUGGGGUAACGGCUCACCUAGGCGACGAUCCCUAGCUGGUCUGAGAGGAUGACCAGCCACACUGGAACUGAGACACGGUCCAGACUCCUACGGGAGGCAGCAGUGGGGAAUAUUGCACAAUGGGCGCAAGCCCGAUGCAGCCAUGCCGCGUGUAUGAAGAAGGCCUUCGGGUUGUAAAGUACUUUCAGCGGGGAGGAAGGGAGUAAAGUUAAUACCUUUGCUCAUUGACGUUACCCGCAGAAGAAGCACCGGCUAACUCCGUGCCAGCAGCCGCGGUAAUACGGAGGGUGCAAGCGUUAAUCGGAAUUACUGGGCGUAAAGCGCACGCAGGCGGUUUGUUAAGUCAGAUGUGAAAUCCCCGGGCUCAACCUGGGAACUGCAUCUGAUACUGGCAAGCUUGAGUCUCGUAGAGGGGGGUAGAAUUCCAGGUGUAGCGGUGAAAUGCGUAGAGAUCUGGAGGAAUACCGGUGGCGAAGGCGGCCCCCUGGACGAAGACUGACGCUCAGGUGCGAAAGCGUGGGGAGCAAACAGGAUUAGAUACCCUGGUAGUCCACGCCGUAAACGAUGUCGACUUGGAGGUUGUGCCCUUGAGGCGUGGCUUCCGGAGCUAACGCGUUAAGUCGACCGCCUGGGGAGUACGGCCGCAAGGUUAAAACUCAAAUGAAUUGACGGGGGCCCGCACAAGCGGUGGAGCAUGUGGUUUAAUUCGAUGCAACGCGAAGAACCUUACCUGGUCUUGACAUCCACGGAAGUUUUCAGAGAUGAGAAUGUGCCUUCGGGAACCGUGAGACAGGUGCUGCAUGGCUGUCGUCAGCUCGUGUUGUGAAAUGUUGGGUUAAGUCCCGCAACGAGCGCAACCCUUAUCCUUUGUUGCCAGCGGUCCGGCCGGGAACUCAAAGGAGACUGCCAGUGAUAAACUGGAGGAAGGUGGGGAUGACGUCAAGUCAUCAUGCCCUUACGACCAGGGCUACACACGGGCUACAAUGGCGCAUACAAAGAGAAGCGACCUCGCGAGAGCAAGCGGACCUCAUAAAGUGCGUCGUAGUCCGGAUUGGAGUCUGCAACUCGACUCCAUGAAGUCGGAAUCGCUAGUAAUCGUGGAUCAGAAUGCCACGGUGAAUACGUUCCCGGGCCUUGUACACACCGCCCGUCACACCAUGGGAGUGGGUUGCAAAAGAAGUAGGUAGCUUAACCUUCGGGAGGGCGCUUACCACUUUGUGAUUCAUGACUGGGGUGAAGUCGUAACAAGGUAACCGUAGGGGAACCUGCGGUUG